Molecule: long non-coding RNA, 3207 nt
Filed under: Cyanistes caeruleus (blue tit)
Lineage: Eukaryota; Metazoa; Chordata; Aves; Passeriformes; Paridae
Description: lncRNA (ENSCCEG00000000414.1)
Source: RNAcentral
CGGGAUUCUGUCCCAGCCCCUCCCCCGCCCAUUCCCGGUUUUUUCCCAUGGAUUCCCCCCCAGAAUCCCGGGAUUCUCUCCCAGCCCCUCCCCCGCCCAUUCCCGGUUUUUUCCCAGGGAUUCGACCCCGAUUCCAAGGGCAAAUUCCGGCCCCGGAAGCGCCACAAGGGGAGGGACCCCGAGCGCCGGCGGCGGCAGGUGCAGAACCAGGAGCUGAGGGCCCGGAUCCGGCAGAGUUUGGAGCAGAAGGAGAAAAACGAGGAGGGGGAACCCCCCAGGAAAAGGAGGAAAAAGGAGAGGAAAAACGGGGAAAAAACGGGAAAAAUCCUCCAAAAAACCGGGAAAAAAACGGCGGGAAAACCCCCAAAAUCCGCGGGAAAAAUGGCGGGAAAACCCCCAAAAUCCGCGGGAAAAAUGGCGGGAAAAUCCCCAAAAUCCGCGGGAAAAACGGGAGAAAUCCUUCAAAAAAAUGGGGGAAAAAUGAUGGGAAAAUCCCAGAAAAACGGGGAAAAAAUGGGAGAAAAAUCCCAAAAAAUUGGGGAAAAAAUGGGAGAAAAAUCCCCAAAAAUCAUGGAAAAAAUGGGAGAAAAAUUCCCAAAAAUUGGAGAAAAGUUGGGAGAAAAAUCCCAAAAAAUCAUGGAAAAAAUGGGAGAAAAAUCCCAAAAAAUUGGGGAAAAGUUGGGAGAAAAAUCCCAAAAAAUUGGGGAAAAAUUGGGAGAAAAAUCCCAAAAAAUUGGGGAAAAAAUGGGAGAAAAAUCCCCAAAAAUUGGGGAAAAAAUGGGAGAAAAAUCCCCCAAAAUUGGGGAAAAAAUGGGAGAAAAAUCAAAAAAAAUUGGAGAAAAAUUGGGAGAAAAGUCCCAAAAAAUUGGGGGAAAAUUGGGAGAAAAAUCCCAAAAAAUUGGGGAAAAAAUGGGAGAAAAAUCCCAAAAAAUUGGGGAAAAAACCCUGGAAAAAUUCCCAAAAAUUGGGAAAAAAACCCCGGAAAAAUCCCAAAAAAUUGGAGAAAAAUUGGGAGAAAAAUCCCCAAAAAUUGGGAAAAAAACCCCGGAAAAAUCCCAAAAAAAAGUGGGAAAAAGGCGGGGAAAGCCCAAAAAUCCCGGGAAAGGGAAGGAGGGGAUUCCCGGCCGGAAUUUGGGGGGAUCCCCCCAAAAAAGGGGAGCCCUGGAAAGGUUCAGGAAAUAAAAUUUUGGGAGCGGAGAUUUCGGGGUGUCUGAGAGGCUUUGUCCCCAAUUUUGGGGUCCCAUCCCAAAUUUUUGGGGUCCCCAAAUUGUCCCCAUCCCAUUUUGGGGGUCCCAUCCCCAUUUUUGGGGUCCCCAAAUUGUCCCAAUCCAAAUUUUUGGGGUCCCCAAAAUGUCCCAGUCCCAAUUUUGGGGUCCUCUCCCCAUUUUUGGGGGUCCUCAAUGUCCCCAUCCCAAUUUUUGGGGACCCCAAAUUGUCCCAAUCCCAAUUUUUGGGGUCCCAUCCCCAUUUUUGGGGUCCCCAAUGUCCCCUCUCCCCAUUUUUGGGGUCCCCAAAUUGUCCCCAUCCCAUUUUUGGGGUCCCAUCCCAAAUUUUUGGGGGUUCUCAAUGUCCCAAUCCCAAUUUUUGGGGUCCCCAGAAUGUCCCAAUCCCAAUUUUUGGGGUCCUCUCCCCAUUUUUUGGGGUCCCCUCCCCAUUUUUGGGGUCCCCAAAUUGUCCCAAUCCCAAUUUUUGGGGUCCCCAUCCCAUUUUUGGGGUCCCAUCCCAAAUUUUUGGGAGUCCUCAAUGUCCCAAUCCCAAUUUUUGGGGUCCCCAGAAUGUCCCAAUCCCAUUUUUGGGGUCCCCAAUGUCCCCUCUCCCCAUUUUUGGGGUCCCCAAAUUGUCCCAGUCCCAAUUUUGGGGUCCCAAUCCCAUUUUUGGGGUCUCCCAAUUUUUGGGGUCCCCAAAUUGUCCCCAUCCCAUUUUUGGGGUCCCAUCCCCAUUUUUGGGGUCCCCAGAAUUUCCCCAUCCCAAUUUUUGGGGUCCCCAAAUUGUCCCAAUCCCAAUUUUGGGGGUCCCAUCCCCAUUUUUGGGGUCCCCAAUGUCCCCUCUCCCCAUUUUUGGGGUCCCCAAAUUGUCCCAAUCCCAAUUUUUGGGGUCCCCUUCCCAUUUUUGGGGGUCCUCAAUGUCCCCAUCCCAUUUUUUGGGGUCCUCUCCCCAUUUUUGGGGUCCCCAAAAUGUCCCAAUCUCAAUUUUUGGGGUCCCCUCCCCAUUUUUGGGGGUCCUCAAUGUCCCCAUCCCAAUUUUUGGGGUCCCCAAAUCGUCCCAAUCCCAAUUUUGGGGGUCCCAUCCCCAUUUUUGGGGUCCCCAAAUUGUCCCAAUCCCAAUUUUGGGGGUCCCAUCCCCAUUUUUGGGGUCCCCAAUGUCCCCUCUCCCCAUUUUUGGGGUCCCCUCCCCCAGAUGAAGCCACCGCGGUGUCACCAGCACUGGGGACUUUAUUGGGGGGUGACACCUGAGGGACACCAGGGACACCUGAGGGACACCUGAGACACCUGGGGGACACCUGGGGGACACCUGAGGGACACCUGAGGGACACCUGAGACACCUGAGGGACACCUGGGGGACACCUGGGACACCUGGGGGACACCAGGGACAUCCAGGUGACACCUGAGGGACACCUGGGUGACACCUGAGACACACCUGGGACACCAGGGACAUCCAGGUGACACCUGAGUGACACCUGGGGGACAACUGAGGGACACCAGGGACAUCCAGGUGACACCUGAGUGACACCUGGGGGACAACUGAGGGACACCAGGGACAUCCAGGUGACACCUGGGUGACACCUGAGUGACACCUGGAGGACACCUAAAACACCAGGGUGACACCUGAGACACCUGGGUGACACCUGGGGGACACCUGGGACACCUGGGGGACACCAGGGACAUCCAGGUGACACCUGAGACACCCAGGGGACACCUGAGGGACACCUGGGACACCUGGGACACCUGGGGGACACCUGAGGGACACCUGAGGGACACCUGGGACACCUGGGACACCUGGGGGACACCUGAGGGACACCUGAGUGACACCUGGGGGACACCUGAGACACCCGGGGGACACCUGGGGGACACUUGGGACACACCUGAGUGACACCAGGGACAUCCAGGUGACACCCGCGGGACACCUGGAACNNNNNNNNNNNNNNNNNNNNAGCCCUGGAAAGGUUCAGGAAAUAAAAUUUUGGGAGCGGAGAUUUCGGGGUGUCUG